GGCGGUGUACCCAAGUGGACAACGGGGCCUGACUGUAAAUCAGGUGGCAAAGCCUUCGUAGGUUCGAAUCCUACCGCCGCCA
Molecule: transfer RNA, 82 nt
Filed under: Phycisphaerae bacterium
Lineage: Bacteria; Pseudomonadati; Planctomycetota; Phycisphaerae
Description: tRNA-Tyr
Rfam family: tRNA
About the family: Transfer RNA (tRNA) molecules are approximately 80 nucleotides in length.
Source: RNAcentral